Molecule: long non-coding RNA, 277 nt
Organism: Paramormyrops kingsleyae
Lineage: Eukaryota; Metazoa; Chordata; Actinopteri; Osteoglossiformes; Mormyridae
Source: RefSeq, a predicted model, not a curated record
GAGGUGACCAGAUGUUGUGGCAAUUAACACCCAUAUCCUGACCCAUAUUCUGGAAGGGAACGCAAGAGCAAAGAGCCGUUAUUUUAUCAAGGCAAAUUACCAUGACAAAACUUUAAUUGCUAGUUACAGAAGAACAUCUUUGAACAUAAAAGGGAGGUUGUUGGUCCCUAUUUGGAGCAUGGGAAUCAUUGGACAUUUUUUCAUUGUAAUAUUGUGGACCGGAGUAUAACGUACCUAAACUCACUAGGGGAACAGGAUGAGCAGUACUAUAAAAUAG